Long non-coding RNA from Oncorhynchus keta (chum salmon), 137 nucleotides. RefSeq lists it as uncharacterized. The transcript is spliced from 4 exons. The record is from RefSeq and is a predicted model, not a curated record. NCBI's taxonomy places the organism in Eukaryota, Metazoa, Chordata, Actinopteri, Salmoniformes, Salmonidae.
GUCUGAGGUUCAUUACUCAGUGUGAUGGUCUGAGGUUCAUUACUCAGUGUGAUGGUCUGAGGUUGAGGUUCAUUACUCAUUGUGAUGGUCUGAGGUUCAUUACUCAGUGUGAUGGUCUGAGUUUGAGGUUGGGGUUG